CAGAAACAGAGCCUCUGAUUGGUUAACAGACUGAACCCAAGGCAUCAGUGAAUAACUAAGAGCAAUGUUCACAGCAACAAUGACUCUUUUCAGCACAGAGAAACCGAUAAAUAAGGAGACAUUGAAUUUGUCAUCAUAGAUUUAUUUAAAAAAAAAAGUCAGUGCAGUUCAAGUCUGGAUUCUUGAAAGGGGGACAUAAUCACACUGGAGUGCCCACUGGAACAGUACAACACUGCCUUUCCAGAAAAAAAAAUAAAAGUUGUAGCGCAGGUAGGCGGAAGAGGUCGGCUCGCAGCUGUGAAGAGCUGAUGACAGCUGUGGCCCUGCCCACCAGGUUUUGAGGUUAAAAUCCUGAUGGAAAAUCAUCCAAUCGGGAUUGUUCUCUCUGUGGUCUGUAGGGAAAUAAAGCUGAGCUGCUCACGCAUAAGUUAGGACUUCAGCAGCUGGACUGAAGGUCUUACAUGUCAGAUGAACUACCAACUUAAUUACGAAGUGACAGAAGAACCAACCAGACCAUGUGAUUUCAGACACUUUUGUGGAACAUCAAGAUGUCACUGACGACACACAGACAUUGUCGAGGACAUGGCCUGGUGCAGACUACUCCGAACAGAGCCCCUCCUACUCUCUGACUGUGCAGGCGUCCCAGCCUGAGCCAACUUUCACUUACCUGCGCUGCUUAAUGCACUCCGAGAUGUGGAAAGAUUCCUGCUAGAACCUCGUCUCCUUGGUUUGUAUCCUGAAUUCUUCUCAUGAUCUUUUCC
This is a long non-coding RNA of Pygocentrus nattereri (red-bellied piranha), 761 nucleotides long. The record is from Ensembl. NCBI's taxonomy places the organism in Eukaryota, Metazoa, Chordata, Actinopteri, Characiformes, Serrasalmidae.